Molecule: ribosomal RNA, 459 nt
Filed under: uncultured bacterium
Lineage: Bacteria
Description: partial 16S ribosomal RNA
Rfam family: Bacterial small subunit ribosomal RNA
Source: RNAcentral
CCUACGGGAGGCAGCAGUGAGGAAUAUUGGUCAAUGGCCGAGAGGCUGAACCAGCAAAGUCGCGUGAGGGAAGAAUGUCCUAUGGAUUGUAAACUUCUUUUGUCAGGGAGCAAAGUCACCCACGUGUGGGUGUUGGAGAGUACCUGACGAAAAAGCAUCGGCUAACUCCGUGCCAGCCGCCGCGGUAAUACGGGGGAUGCGAGCGUUAUCCGGAUUUAUUGGGUUAAAGGGGUGCGUCGGCGGGUUAUCAAGUCAGCGGGAAAGUCGUGGAGCUAAACUCCAUCCAGCCGUUGAAACUGAUGAUCUUGAGUGGGCGAGAAGUAUGCGGAAUGCGAGGUGUAGCGGUGAAAUGCAUAGAUAUCACGCAGAACUCCGAUUGCGAAGGCAGCAUACCGGCGCCCGACUGACGCUGAAGCACGAAAGCGUGGGUAUCGAACAGGAUUAGAUACCCUUGUAGUC